RNAcentral lists this ribosomal RNA (429 nucleotides) under Chloroflexota bacterium. RNAcentral's name for it is "Chloroflexi bacterium partial 16S ribosomal RNA". It matches the Rfam family "Bacterial small subunit ribosomal RNA", at positions 355 to 776 of the family's 1533-position model. The record is from RNAcentral. Lineage: Bacteria; Bacillati; Chloroflexota.
UGGGGAAUAUUGCACAAUGGGCGCAAGCCUGAUGCAGCCAUGCCGCUUGUAUGAAGAAGGCCUUCGGUUUGUAAAGUACUUUCAGCGGGGAGGAAGGGAGUAAAGUUAAUACCUUUGCUCAUUGACGUUACCCGCAGAAGAAGCACCGGCUAACUCCGUGCCAGCAGCCGCGGUAAUACGGAGGGUGCAAGCGUUAAUCGGAAUUACUGGGCGUAAAGCGCACGCAGGCGGUCUGUCAAGUCGGAUGUGAAAUCCCCGGGCUCAACCUGGGAACUGCAUUCGAAACUGGCAGGCUAGAGUCUUGUAGAGGGGGGUAGAAUUCCAGGUGUAGCGGUGAAAUGCGUAGAGAUCUGGAGGAAUACCGGUGGCGAAGGCGGCCCCCUGGACAAAGACUGACGCUCAGGUGCGAAAGCGUGGGGAGCAAACAGG